Molecule: long non-coding RNA, 3155 nt
Filed under: Mytilus galloprovincialis (Mediterranean mussel)
Lineage: Eukaryota; Metazoa; Mollusca; Bivalvia; Mytilida; Mytilidae
Source: RNAcentral
AGUUAAUCUUCCCGAGGAAAGAAAAUAUGUAUUUAGAACAGCACGACUAAAGACUGACGAAAAAGCUUACAAUCAUCUUAUUGUUGUAUGUCGAGGGUUGCAAACUAACUUGCGAAUAGAAAGGGAAUUUGAAAGUUAUUUUCAAAAAUACAUAGUUUUGGAACACGUAGAAGAUGAUGAAAAAGAAGACAAUGAAUUUUGGAAAAGAUUGCAAAUGGCUCUUGAUUCAAGGCCGAUUACUAAUUGUGAUCCGCUAGAUAUUGUGCUUGAGGACAACAUAGAUGAAGAGGCUAAAAUCGACAACCAAUACGAACAAACCAUUACUAAUUCUAAUGGCUCAACCGACAUUGCACAAUUAAUCUAAAUAUGAAUAGAUAGGGAAAGUCCCCAAUCAAUCAGGUAAAACAAAAACAAAAGAAAAGGUAUAUCCAAAUAUAGUAAUGCUUGCAAUUUCAAAGAAGGUUAUAAGUUUCAGAAUCGUUUCUUACCUUAUUUCGUAAAAAAAUGAACACCAUGAGCAAUAUAUAAAUUUAGGCAAAAGUAAUUGACCAAUGUAAAUCUCAUAAACCGUUUUGCUGGAAGACAAUUGAACACUAAUUGAAUUGCGUAAACGAAAUCCAAAUAGAGCAGAAGUAUAAACGAGAUAUUUAAGAAAAAAAGAAAAAAAGCGUUUUCACAAACUAGGGCUCAAAAAGCAAACGCCUUGAAAAAAAGUCGGUUUACAAAACGAAGCAGGUGUAAAUAAUACCAGAAAAAAAAACAAUAGUUAAAUGUCUUGAAAUACGUUGGUGAAAAUAAUUUCAGGCGAUCAAUUAAGUUCAGAUAUUUAAAAAAGUUAUUUAAAUAAUUGAAUGAAAUUAAAUUCACAAAAAUACCAAACUCCGAGUAAAAUUCAAAAAAUUCAACGGAAAGUAUCUCAUCAAAAGCUCAAACACUAUAAUAAUAAAUAAAUGAGCUCAUCAUACCAGGAUUGAAAUAAUUAUUCAUUUAUGUCUCAUUAUUGUUUUAUUGUUUUUUCUUUCCUUAAUUAUAUCUAAAUCAGUAAAAAUAAAAACAUGUAUUUGUCACUUUGCCAAGAAAACAAACUUGGAAAACAACUACUAUGAAAUAAAAUCCAAAGUAAUUCAAACAUCUUCUAACGAGGAUGGUCUGAAUCUGAAACGUAUUUUCAAUGCUUUCUUCUCUCUAUUAGCUUUACAGGAUUGUUAUUUAUUUGAUUGAACCUUUUUACCAAUGUUGACACUACGAGUAGUUUUUUUUUACGGAUCUUGGAACAUAAGAUUAAUAUAUGAUGCUUCUUUUUUUUUUUUAGAAAAUAACCGAAAUUUUAAUUUUGUAGACAUUCUAUUCAGUAUAGAACUUGCUAUACCAUGAAACUGGAAAGAGUUGUAAAUACAGCAACAUAAUGUCACCUAAUAACAGCUCAUUUGGAUUAGUUUUUGAACAUGAGAAAGAACAAAUGUCGAUAAGUAAAUUGUUUGAAAAAUAUUUUUAUCUUACAAAAGUACCUGAGGUCAACCCCAGUUUUUGGUGGGGUUUGUAUAGCUGCUCUUUCAAAGUUUUCUAUGGUGUGUUUCGUGUAGUAUUGGCGUUGUCAGAUUAUUUUCGACUUAUGAGUUUGAAUGACCAUUUAGUAUCUUUCGCCUCUAUAUUUCUCGACCAGUGACAUGUUCCUCCCUUUUCAGAACAGUGGGCUUAUACUGUGAAUUCAUUAUUAUUCGUUGGAUACCAAUUUUCGUGGCUUUCGUGGGUACAGUUGAACUACGAAAUUAAAUGUUCUUCAGGCUGAUAUGCAGACUUAAGCAAAAUCAUGAAAUUAAAUAUCUACGAAUAUGCAAGUUUUCCUUCAUCCACGAUAAUUGUUACCCACAAAAAUAAGUGAAUCCACAGUAUAUGAAAAUUAUUGUAAAAACUGACAGAAUAUGUGUGCACUGGCUUUUAAAUGUAAUAUCAAAUGUAAACUACAAACUUCCGUAUGCAAAUUUGUACAUAGAUUGGUCUAACAUAAGUGUUGUCUUGUAAAAGAUAUAGAUUCGUUUGAUGUAUUUGAUCUAUUAACUAGAUGCUAAUGAAUGUGCUUGUUAUAAAAACUAUGGAGGAUAUUUUUUUUGAUGCACGUAAAUAAAUCAAUUUCUUUUAAAAUUGGUAGUAUUUUGUUUUUUGAAGAAUAUUUUUGAAUAAAGACAAUGUGACUUUUGAGAUCUUUGAAUUAUGAUAACUAAGAUUAUAAUUAAUGUAUUCUACGGGCAAAGUAUUGUAUAAACUAUGUUCCGAUCAUAUAAUUAGACAGACUGUUAAUAUUUGUGCAAGCCUUCCGUAAGUUUUUUUAUUUUUUUUUAGAAUACUGAUGUCUUUCUAAAGACAAGCGCAAGUUAUUUAUAGAUAGUUUGGAAGGCGGAGUUGAUGUGGUGGUGGAUUAUUGAGUUAAUUCAACUUGUUUUGAAUAUGAUUGUAUAUAAAAUGAAGUCCAGUGUAUUUAUAAGAUCAAAUAUUGUAUAUUGUCAUUGAAAACUUAUAAAUCCUUAUAACUGUGGAAUCAUUUAUUUUCGUGGAUACGACAUUUCGUGGAUAUUUAAUUUCUCUGUUUUGGCAAAGUCAGGAGCCUGUAAUUCAGUGGUUGUCGUUUGUUUAUGUGUUACAUAUUUGUUUUUCGUUAAUUUUUUUUUUUAAAUAAAUAAGGCCGUUAGUUUUCUCGUUUGAAUUGUUUUACAUUGUCUUAUCGGGGCCUUUUAUAGCUGACUAUGCGGUAUGGGCUUUUCUCAUUGUUGAAAGCCGUACGGUGACCUAUAGUUGCUAAUUUCUGUGUCAUUUUUGGUCUUUUGUGGAUAGUUGUCUUAUUGGCAAUCAUACCACAUUUUCUUUUUUAUAUUAAACAUUCCUUUUAGAAUUUUGUAUUUCGCUGAAAUUUGAAUUCGUGGUUCCCUACGUCUGUUCCCACGAAAUGCAUGCACAUUGGUAUCCAAUGAAUGUAAAUGAUUCCACAGUAUAUAUUAAUCGCACGAUAACAAUAUUUAAUUCAUGUUUUGUAGCAAUAAAAUUGAGAAAGGAAAUGGUGAAUAUGUCAAAGCGACAACCACCCGACCAAUGUAUGAUUGCACUGUAGUUUGAACAUCAAAACGAUAAAUAACAAUAAAAAUAAAGAAAUGUGCUGCUGG